UACGUAGGGGGCAAGCGUUGUCCGGAUUUAUUGGGCGUAAAGAGCGUGUAGGCGGUUAGGUAGGUCCGUUGUGAAAACUCGAGGCUCAACCUCGAGACGCCGAUGGAAACCAUCUGACUAGAGUCCGGAAGAGGAGAGUGGAAUUCCUGGUGUAGCGGUGAAAUGCGCAGGUAUCAGGAAGAACACCCGUGGCUAAGGCGGCUCUCUAGUACGUGACUGACGCUGAGACGCGAAAGCGUGGGGAGCGAACGAGGA
RNAcentral lists this ribosomal RNA (255 nucleotides) under uncultured bacterium. Its description in RNAcentral is "partial 16S ribosomal RNA". It matches the Rfam family "Bacterial small subunit ribosomal RNA", at positions 524 to 778 of the family's 1533-position model. The record is from RNAcentral.